This 358-nucleotide ribosomal RNA is filed under the name uncultured bacterium. Its description in RNAcentral is "partial 16S ribosomal RNA". It matches the Rfam family "Bacterial small subunit ribosomal RNA", at positions 338 to 694 of the family's 1533-position model. The record is from RNAcentral.
CCUACGGGUGGCAGCAGUGAGGAAUAUUGGUCAAUGGGCGGAAGCCUGAACCAGCCAAGUAGCGUGCGGGAUGACGGCCCUACGGGUCGUAAACCGCUUUUGCACGGGGAUAACACCCUCCACUUGUGGAGGUCUGCAGGUACCGUGCGAAUAAGGGCCGGCUAAUUCCGUGCCAGCAGCCGCGGUAAUACGGAAGGCCCGAGCGUUAUCCGGAUUCAUUGGGCUUAAAGGGAGCGUAGGCGGGCGUUCAAGUCAGCUGUAAAAUUGCGCGGCUCAACCGCGCCCGGCAGUUGAAACGGGACGCCUUAGGGUGACAACAGGCAGGGGGAAGUCGGGGUGUAGCGGUGAAAUGCAUAGA